AUACGGAAGGUGCAAGCGUUAAUCGGAAUCACUGGGCGUAAAGCGCUCGUAAAAGGUGGCUUUGUAAGUCAGGUGUGAAAGCCCACGGCUCAACCGUGGAAUUGCACUUGAUACUGCAUUGCUUGAGUUCGGGAGAGGGUAGUGGAAUUCCAGGUGUAGGAGUGAAAUCCGUAGAGAUCUGGAGGAACACCAGUGGCGAAGGCGACUACCUGGACCGAUACUGACACUGAGGAGCGAAAGCGUGGGGAGC
Molecule: ribosomal RNA, 250 nt
Filed under: uncultured bacterium
Lineage: Bacteria
Description: partial 16S ribosomal RNA
Rfam family: Bacterial small subunit ribosomal RNA
Source: RNAcentral